This 253-nucleotide ribosomal RNA is filed under the name uncultured bacterium. Its description in RNAcentral is "partial 16S ribosomal RNA". It matches the Rfam family "Bacterial small subunit ribosomal RNA", at positions 524 to 776 of the family's 1533-position model. The record is from RNAcentral.
GACAGAGGGUGCAAACGUUGUUCGGAAUUACUGGGCGUAAAGCGCGUGUAGGCGGUUACUUAUGUCGGAUGUGAAAGCCCUCGGCUUAACUGAGGAAGUGCAUUCGAAACUGGGUAGCUAGAGUACUAAAGAGGGUCGCGGAAUUCCCGGUGUAGAGGUGAAAUGCGUAGAUAUCUGGAGGAACACCGGUGGCGAAGGCGGCAUCCUGGACCGAGAUUGACGCUGAGGCGCGAAAGCCAGGGGAGCAAACGGG